GGGGGGACGGAGAAGGCUAGGUGGGCCUGGCGACGGUUGUCCAGGUUCAAGUGCGUAGGCUUAAGAGUUAGGUAAAUCCGGCUCUUUUUUAAGGCUGAGACACAGACGUCGAGCACCUACGGGUGUGAAGUCAUUGAUGCCAUGCUUCCAGGAAAAGCCUCUAAGCUUCAGAUUGUAAGGAAUCGUACCCCAAACCGACACAGGUGGUCGGGU
Molecule: ribosomal RNA, 213 nt
Filed under: Vibrio parahaemolyticus
Lineage: Bacteria; Pseudomonadati; Pseudomonadota; Gammaproteobacteria; Vibrionales; Vibrionaceae
Description: partial 23S ribosomal RNA
Rfam family: Bacterial large subunit ribosomal RNA
Source: RNAcentral